This is a long non-coding RNA of Peromyscus eremicus (cactus mouse), 360 nucleotides long. RefSeq lists it as uncharacterized. The record is from RefSeq and is a predicted model, not a curated record. NCBI's taxonomy places the organism in Eukaryota, Metazoa, Chordata, Mammalia, Rodentia, Cricetidae. The transcript is spliced from 2 exons.
GUCAGAGUGCACACCAGUCCUAGGUCCACCUUAAUGAGAGUAUCCCAACAAACACCUCAACAGCACUGUGGGUUGUGGAGGAAAUGAGGGCUUCUUUUUCAGAAUGCCUUUUGUUCCUUUAGGUUUUAUUUGUUUUGACACACACCCUUGCCUGUCAGACAGGUGGCAGAUUCAUACUAAAAUGGCAUCAGUAAAGAGAGGAAAGAAACAACAUGCAGUUUGACCAGUUUCCGAUUGACUGGAAUGUAUAACUACAGUUGCAAAUUUCUUAGUAGACACUCAUUAUCUGAGCUCCCAAGCACCACAAUCCUUGUUGUCCAUCUCAGAUGGUGACUCCAACAAAAUUCUUCUCGGUAUCAA